CCACUCUGGAAAGCAGGGACGACGUUCCCUCGCCGAAGGUGCAAGCCACACCACGUGCGUGGCGAAGCUCUCAGGCACCCAUGACAGAGGGGGA
Molecule: non-coding RNA, 94 nt
Filed under: uncultured Nocardiopsis sp.
Lineage: Bacteria; Bacillati; Actinomycetota; Actinomycetes; Streptosporangiales; Nocardiopsidaceae
Description: Glycine riboswitch
Rfam family: Glycine riboswitch aptamer
About the family: This family represents the bacterial glycine riboswitch. Glycine riboswitches usually consist of two metabolite-binding aptamers domains with similar structures in tandem.
Source: RNAcentral